RNAcentral lists this long non-coding RNA (2644 nucleotides) under Olea europaea (common olive). RNAcentral describes it as "long non-coding RNA (OEUR_LNC012197)". The record is from RNAcentral. Lineage: Eukaryota; Viridiplantae; Streptophyta; Magnoliopsida; Lamiales; Oleaceae.
AAUUUCAGUAAGAAAAUUAUCUUGAGAUAAAGUAGCAAGCUUAUAGCCAUUUUCCUUCAUCAACAAAAUCUCAGCACGAGCCAUAUUCAACUUUAAAUAGAAAACGACUCUAGAUUUUCCCUUUCCCAACAAAGAUUUGACUACAGGUUCCUCAACUGCACCCGACUGACCAUCAUGUGUAUUCUCCUUGGACAUAUCAUUUGAAGCAACCGCUGAUGAGGAAGCAUCACUGAAAGAUUCACAGCUUUCUUCCUGAGUGUUAAUAGAAUUCGCAAACUCCAUGAUGGCAAGUAUAGUGGGCCUACGACAAAAAAAUGACAAGGUGGAGAGGGUCACAGCCACCUGUAAAACACAGGAGAAGACAAAUCAGCAGAUCUCAUAUAUUGUAAAACCAUUUUUAUGGUCUCAUAGUGUGCCAAGUAGAUAAUAAAACGAGUCAUUAAAUAGAAAUGAAAACCAGAGUUUUAUCUCGAACAAGUGAGAUUACACACAGACGAAUUAUUUGGAUAAAUUACUUGACGAAAUGCAUAGUGUGGACAUUGGAGAUUUUCUGACACUGUAGAUUUGAAUUUUAAGUAUAUAAAUAGAACUCAAAAGUCUUGAAAGUGAGGGCGGCUGUGAAGAGGAAGAAGAUGAAUAAAAUAAUUGCCCCAGCUGGAACUCCUAUAGAUAAAUGGGGUGUCGGGAUGAGGGAGGUACUUUAUGGGAUAACAAAAGUUUCAAAAUCUUAAUGAGAUGAUAGAGAAUGGCUGUAGAGAGUCAGGAGUCAUAAUACGAAAUUAUACAAAUAUAUCAUUGAACAUAGAUGAAGGUGUAAUUCAAAGGUAUUAGAAUAAACUUCAUGCUACAGAGGAUCUACUAUAUAGGCUAUAUACUUAGAAGUGAAGAUGGACAAAGAAGAAUGAAAAAGAUCCCAUAUGGUUUUAUUAAUUUACAAAAGGCCUGCGGUAGGGUACGCACCAAACAGCUAUGGUAGGUGCAACAAAUAAUGAUAUAUUUACUAAGAAUAUGUAUGCUGGAGCAGUCACAAGCAUAAGAUGUAGUGCAUGUUUGAUAAAGCUUGUAUUAUAAAUUAAUUUGAUCAAAAAUACUUAUUAUUCACACAUUUGCUUUCCAAAAACGAUUAAUACACCAAUCUAUUCAUAAUGAUACCAUGAGCACUUUAGGGCUUCCUGAUUCCUUGACACCGAAUUCAAUUUAGUGGGAUCUUUCACCGGUGCUUCACUUUUCUAAGUAAUGGGGAAGAGCAGGGAGAAAGAGAGAGAGAGAGAGAGAGAGAGAGAGAGUAAAUAAAUGAAUAAAUAAAUAAAGGAAGAAGAAGAAGAUUUGAAUUUAAAAUCUUUUCAGAAAGCCAAUUCUUCUUUUUUAAGAAGGAAAUAAUAAAAUGAUUUUCCAAGCCGUAAAAAACACUCUAUUUAGAAAAUCUCAAAUCUCUCUCGACCCCGAGAAUGUACCAAAAUCAAUUUUUUUGGCGCAACAAGAAUUUGUAUAAAAAACCGUUUCAAUAUCAAAAACAACCUUGGAGGAUUAAAAGCAUGACUCUUGCAUAGAACCCACAACUACUACACGCUUAUUAUUUAUACGUGACAUAGUACCCACAACUUAUAAUCACUCCUAAACAUGCUAGUAUUAGUGAUAGUGAUGUAAGCGCGAAAGCGUAAAAACAAUUUGCAAACACCCUAUCGAAGUUCCGUUGAUUCCAAAGGAAUACUGCAACACAAUCUUCUAAUUUUUGUUGAUUCCUAAUAUUACUAGAAAUCUAGGCGUCAAAAUUCUUUGAUAUUUGGACUCGUUCAUUUGAAAUAUCAAAAUACCAAAAACUUGAGAGACUGGAGAAGAUCUCAAUAAUUAUAUUUUUAUUUCAAUUCAAUUUCCCCCACUGCGAUUGCUCAACUUUCUGUGGAAAUAAUAUAACUAGGAAACUUUUAGAGUUAAACCUAUCAUACAGAUGAGAAGCCGAAUCCCUUAUCAUAAGUUUCUGAACAAGAAAGAUAGGUUAACGUGAUUCCAUAUUAACAAGGAUGUCGUGCAAAUAAAAUGAUAAGCUGGAGGCUAAGAGUAGAACAAACAGACGUAAAAUACCUCCACAAAUGACUUUCCACCCGGAUUCCUCAUGUCACAUGCCCAGAAAUACAUAUGAUUGCUAUGAAGACUGUCAUCACUUAUUCUAAGAUUUCCAAGGGAUGCUUUUAUACUAAAAGAGGAAGGAAACACCUAAAAAAUGGAGAAAUGGAUAAUUUCAGAUUCAGAUAAGUAUAAUAUGCUAAACUCAAUAUGAAAAAAGAAGUGUAUUGCACCUUAAUUUCAGUAAGAAAAUUAUCUUGAGAUAAAGUAGCAAGCUUAGAGCCAUUUUCCUUCAUCAACAAAAUCUCAGCACGAGCCAUAUUCAACUUUAAAUAGAAAACGACUCUAGAUUUUCCCUUUCCCAACAAAGAUUUGACUACAGGUUCCUCAACUGCACCCGACUGACCAUCAUGUGUAUUCUCCUUGGACAUAUCAUUUGAAGCAACUGCUGAUGAGGAAGCAUCACUGAAAGAUUCACAGCUUUCUUCCUGAGUGUUAAUAGAAUUCGCAAACUCCAUGAUGGCAAGUAUAGUGGGCCUACAACAAAAAAAUGACAAGGUGGAGAGGGUCACAGCCACCU